GAGCCGAAGGGAAACCGAGUCUUAAUUGGGCGUUAAGUUGCAGGGUAUAGACCCGAAACCCGGUGAUCUAGCCAUGGGCAGGUUGAAGGUUGGGUAACACUAACUGGAGGACCGAACCGACUAAUGUUGAAAAAUUAGCGGAUGACCUGUGGCUGGGGGUGAAAGGCCAAUCAAACCGGGAGAUAGCUGGUUCUCCCCGAAAGCUAUUUAGGUAGCGCCUCGUGAACUCAUCUCCGGGGGUAGAGCACUGUUUCGGCUAGGGGGCCAUCCCGGCUUACCAACCCGAUGCAAACUGCGAAUACCGGAGAAUGUUAUCACGGGAGACACACGGCGGGUGCUAACGUCCGUCGUGAAGAGGGAAACAACCCAGACCGCCAGCUAAGGUCCCAAAGUCAUGGUUAAGUGGGAAACGAUGUGGGAAGGCCCAGACAGCCAGGAUGUUGGCUUAGAAGCAGCCAUCAUUUAAAGAAAGCGUAAUAGCUCACUGGUCGAGUCGGCCUGCGCGGAAGAUGUAACGGGGCUAAACCAUGCACCGAAGCUGCGGCAGCGACACUUUAGUGUUGUUGGGUAGGGGAGCGUUCUGUAAGCCGUUGAAGGUGUCCUGUGAGGGGUGCUGGAGGUAUCAGAAGUGCGAAUGCUGACAUAAGUAACGAUAAAGCGGGUGAAAAGCCCGCUCGCCGGAAGACCAAGGGUUCCUGUCCAACGUUAAUCGGGGCAGAGUGAGUCGACCCCUAAGGCGAGGCCGAAAGGCGUAGUCGAUGGGAAACGGGUUAAUAUUCCCGUACUUGGUGUUACUGCGAAGGGGGGACGGAGAAGGCUAUGUUGGCCGGGCGACGGUAGUCCCGGUUUAAGCGUGUAGGUGUGUGUUCCAGGUAAAUCCGGUUCACUUUAACACUGAGGCGUGAUGACGAGGCACCACGGUGCUGAAGCAACAAAUGCCCUGCUUCCAGGAAAAGCCUCUAAGCAUCAGGUAACAUCAAAUCGUACCCCAAACCGACACAGGUGGUCAGGUAGAGAAUACCAAGGCGCUUGAGAGAACUCGGGUGAAGGAACUAGGCAAAAUGGUGCCGUAACUUCGGGAGAAGGCACGCUGACACGUAGGUGAAGUGAUUUACUCAUGGAGCUGAAGUCAGUCGAAGAUACCAGCUGGCUGCAACUGUUUAUUAAAAACACAGCACUGUGCAAACACGAAAGUGGACGUAUACGGUGUGACGCCUGCCCGGUGCCGGAAGGUUAAUUGAUGGGGUCAGCGCAAGCGAAGCUCCUGAUCGAAGCCCCGGUAAACGGCGGCCGUAACUAUAACGGUCCUAAGGUAGCGAAAUUCCUUGUCGGGUAAGUUCCGACCUGCACGAAUGGCGUAAUGAUGGCCAGGCUGUCUCCACCCGAGACUCAGUGAAAUUGAACUCGCUGUGAAGAUGCAGUGUACCCGCGGCAAGACGGAAAGACCCCGUGAACCUUUACUAUAGCUUGACACUGAACAUUGAGCCUUGAUGUGUAGGAUAGGUGGGAGGCUUUGAAGCGUGGACGCCAGUCUGCGUGGAGCCGACCUUGAAAUACCACCCUUUAAUGUUUGAUGUUCUAACGUGGACCCGUAAUCCGGGUUGCGGACAGUGUCUGGUGGGUAGUUUGACUGGGGCGGUCUCCUCCUAAAGAGUAACGGAGGAGCACGAAGGUUGGCUAAUCCUGGUCGGACAUCAGGAGGUUAGUGCAAUGGCAUAAGCCAGCUUGACUGCGAGCGUGACGGCGCGAGCAGGUGCGAAAGCAGGUCAUAGUGAUCCGGUGGUUCUGAAUGGAAGGGCCAUCGCUCAACGGAUAAAAGGUACUCCGGGGAUAACAGGCUGAUACCGCCCAAGAGUUCAUAUCGACGGCGGUGUUUGGCACCUCGAUGUCGGCUCAUCACAUCCUGGGGCUGAAGUAGGUCCCAAGGGUAUGGCUGUUCGCCAUUUAAAGUGGUACGCGAGCUGGGUUUAGAACGUCGUGAGACAGUUCGGUCCCUAUCUGCCGUGGGCGCUGGAGAAUUGAGGGGGGCUGCUCCUAGUACGAGAGGACCGGAGUGGACGCAUCACUGGUGUUCGGGUUGUCAUGCCAAUGGCACUGCCCGGUAGCUAAAUGCGGAAAAGAUAAGUGCUGAAAGCAUCUAAGCACGAAACUUGCCCCGAGAUGAGUU
This 2167-nucleotide ribosomal RNA is filed under the name Salmonella enterica subsp. diarizonae. RNAcentral's name for it is "partial 23S ribosomal RNA". It matches the Rfam family "Bacterial large subunit ribosomal RNA", at positions 663 to 2810 of the family's 2925-position model. The record is from RNAcentral. Lineage: Bacteria; Pseudomonadati; Pseudomonadota; Gammaproteobacteria; Enterobacterales; Enterobacteriaceae.